Molecule: long non-coding RNA, 218 nt
Filed under: Citrus sinensis (sweet orange)
Lineage: Eukaryota; Viridiplantae; Streptophyta; Magnoliopsida; Sapindales; Rutaceae
Description: long non-coding RNA (CSIN_LNC005725)
Source: RNAcentral
CUAUACAUAUAUUAUCAACAAUUAUAAUACAAUGAACUUUCUUUUUCUCAUUUUUAAGUUACCCAACAGCCAAAGGUGUUUAAGAUGGUCAAGACCACAAAACACCAGCAUCUAAGAGCACAUUUAUACUCCAUUUGCUUCAUAAUGAGCAGAUUCUUAGAAACAUAUAAACUUCAAAAGUGCUAAUCGAUUUGUACUUUUAACAACCCCCCCAAAAA